CACCUGUUGACUGCCUCAUACAUUGGAUCUGAAUAUUGGGUUCCUGCAUCUCCGCUGUACAGAAAGUCAAAGGGAUCGUAUUCCGCAUAGUAGGAUGUGCUGUCGGAGGCGCUGUCGUUGCCUGCAAGUAUUAUGCAAAUAUGCUCGAGAGCCGAGGCCUACUACUGCGAGAAUCCGGGCACAACACAUCGUGUGGCCAAAAAUAAAUGAGACGGCCCCUAAAGUCGCAGCAAUGCGAUGUGGAUCGGUUGGACUAGCACCACUGGCAAUGCGAGAACGCUUCGCAAGUCUACGCUAACAAAUCCGAUGCGAGUGCCAUCGCUAAAAGCUAAUUGUGAUUGCUGUCAUUCGUCGCCCACGCUCACCCAGUACAGUGGAACCAAUACCAUUCGAUAUUUGUUUGAAGAAAUGGGCGCAAAUUAAAAGUAGAAAUAUAAUAUGAUAACAAGAA
Drosophila yakuba is the source of this 451-nucleotide long non-coding RNA. RefSeq lists it as uncharacterized. The transcript is spliced from 2 exons. NCBI's taxonomy places the organism in Eukaryota, Metazoa, Arthropoda, Insecta, Diptera, Drosophilidae. The record is from RefSeq and is a predicted model, not a curated record.